Molecule: ribosomal RNA, 461 nt
Filed under: uncultured Curtobacterium sp.
Lineage: Bacteria; Bacillati; Actinomycetota; Actinomycetes; Micrococcales; Microbacteriaceae
Description: bacterial SSU rRNA
Rfam family: Bacterial small subunit ribosomal RNA
Source: RNAcentral
CCGCACAAGCGGCGGAGCAUGCGGAUUAAUUCGAUGCAACGCGAAGAACCUUACCAAGGCUUGACAUACACCGGUAACGCCCAGAGAUGGGUGCCCCUUUGUGGUCGGUGGACAGGUGGUGCAUGGUUGUCGUCAGCUCGUGUCGUGAGAUGUUGGGUUAAGUCCCGCAACGAGCGCAACCCUCGUCCUAUGUUGCCAGCGGGUCAUGCCGGGGACUCAUGGGAGACUGCCGGGGUCAACUCGGAGGAAGGUGGGGAUGACGUCAAAUCAUCAUGCCCCUUAUGUCUUGGGCUUCACGCAUGCUACAAUGGCCGGUACAAAGGGCUGCGAUACCGCGAGGUGGAGCGAAUCCCAGAAAGCCGGUCUCAGUUCGGAUUGGGGUCUGCAACUCGACCCCAUGAAGUCGGAGUCGCUAGUAAUCGCGGAUCAGCCAUGCCGCGGUGAAUACGUUCCCGGGCCUU